AUGCAAGUCGAGCGGAAACGAAGAGGUGCUUGCACCUUUGGCGUCGAGCGGCGGACGGGUGAGUAAUGCUUGGGAAUAUGCCUUAUGGUGGGGGACAACAGUUGGAAACGACUGCUAAUACCGCAUGAUGUCUACGGACCAAAGUGGGGGACCUUCGGGCCUCACGCCAUAAGAUUAGCCCAAGUGGGAUUAGCUAGUUGGUGAGGUAAUGGCUCACCAAGGCGACGAUCCCUAGCUGGUUUGAGAGGAUGAUCAGCCACACUGGGACUGAGACACGGCCCAGACUCCUACGGGAGGCAGCAGUGGGGAAUAUUGCACAAUGGGCGCAAGCCUGAUGCAGCCAUGCCGCGUGUGUGAAGAAGGCCUUCGGGUUGUAAAGCACUUUCAGUAAGGAGGAAAGGUUAAGUGUUAAUAGCACUUAGCUGUGACGUUACUUACAGAAGAAGCACCGGCUAACUCCGUGCCAGCAGCCGCGGUAAUACGGAGGGUGCGAGCGUUAAUCGGAAUUACUGGGCGUAAAGCGUACGCAGGCGGUUUGUUAAGCGAGAUGUGAAAGC
Molecule: ribosomal RNA, 557 nt
Filed under: uncultured bacterium
Lineage: Bacteria
Description: bacterial SSU rRNA
Rfam family: Bacterial small subunit ribosomal RNA
Source: RNAcentral